CCCUUAGAUGUUCUGGGCCGCACGCGUGCUACACUGACGCAUUCAUCAAGCUUACAACCUUGGCCGAAAGGUCUGGGUAAUCUUUUUAAAGUGCGUCGUGAUGGGGAUAGACGAUUGCAAUUAUUCGUCUUCAACGAGGAAUGCCUAGUAAACGCAAGUCAUCAGCUUGCAUUGAUUACGUCCCUGCCCUUUGUACACACCGCCCGUCGCUACUACCGAUUGAAUGGUUUAGUGAGUAGCACGGACUGGAGACGCGGGUGGUAACACCUGCGUCCUCGGGAAGUGCCGCAAACUUGACUAUUUAGAGGAAGUAAAAGUCGUANCA
Molecule: ribosomal RNA, 325 nt
Filed under: uncultured eukaryote
Lineage: Eukaryota
Description: partial 18S ribosomal RNA
Rfam family: Eukaryotic small subunit ribosomal RNA
Source: RNAcentral